Molecule: non-coding RNA, 73 nt
Organism: Nothoprocta perdicaria
Lineage: Eukaryota; Metazoa; Chordata; Aves; Tinamiformes; Tinamidae
Source: the annotation of a RefSeq genome assembly
GCCCUCUUAGCACAGCUGGCAGUGUAUCAGUCUCAUAAUCUGAAGGUCCUGAGCUCAAGCCUCGGAGAGGGCA